UCCCCUGACCGCGUAUGAAAGUACGUUUCACCCUCGGGUGACAGGGAGACAGGUGGUGCAUGGUUGUCGUCAGCUCGUGUCGUGAGAUGUGGGUUAAGUCCCGCAACGAGCGCAACCCCUACGUUAGUUGCUAACGCGUGAAGGCGAGCACUCUAGACGAACUGCCGUUGACAAAACGGAGGAAGGUGGGAUGACGUCAAAUCAUCAUGCCCCUUAUGUUCUGGGCUACACACGUGCUACAAUGGCCGGUACAGACGGACGCAAAGCCGCGAGGUGGAGCAAAUCCUAAAAAGCCGGUCUCAGUUCGGAUUGCAGGCUGCAAUUCGCCUGCAUGAAGUCGGAAUCGCUAGUAAUCGCAGGUCAGCAUACUGCGGUGAAUACGUUCCCGGGCCUU
RNAcentral lists this ribosomal RNA (394 nucleotides) under uncultured Pelotomaculum sp. RNAcentral describes it as "bacterial SSU rRNA". It matches the Rfam family "Bacterial small subunit ribosomal RNA", at positions 987 to 1382 of the family's 1533-position model. The record is from RNAcentral. Lineage: Bacteria; Bacillati; Bacillota; Clostridia; Eubacteriales; Desulfotomaculaceae.